GUUCUGAAAGAAAACAAAGUAGAUAUUAAAUCAAAUUUCUAUUUUCUUGACUUCAGACCAG
RNAcentral lists this microRNA precursor (61 nucleotides) under Danio rerio (zebrafish). Its description in RNAcentral is "Dre-Novel-1_pre stem-loop". The record is from RNAcentral. Lineage: Eukaryota; Metazoa; Chordata; Actinopteri; Cypriniformes; Danionidae.